RNAcentral lists this ribosomal RNA (2235 nucleotides) under Ruminococcus sp. AF25-17. Its description in RNAcentral is "bacterial LSU rRNA". It matches the Rfam family "Bacterial large subunit ribosomal RNA", at positions 662 to 2925 of the family's 2925-position model. Lineage: Bacteria; Bacillati; Bacillota; Clostridia; Eubacteriales; Oscillospiraceae. The record is from RNAcentral.
GGAGCCGAAGGGAAACCAAGUCUGAAUAGGGCGCAUAGUCAGUCGGAGUAGACCCGAAACCGGGUGAUCUAUCCAUGUCCAGGUUGAAGUUGCCGUAAAAGGCAAUGGAGGACCGAACCCACAUCCGUUGAAAAGGGUGGGGAUGAGGUGUGGAUAGGGGAGAAAUUCCAAUCGAACCCGGAGAUAGCUGGUUCUCCUCGAAAUAGCUUUAGGGCUAGCCUCAUACGAGUCUUGCGGAGGUAGAGCACUGAAUUCCUAAGGGGGCGUCAAAGCUUACUAAGGGAUAUCAAACUCCGAAUGCCGUGUAGAUGAUGUAUGGGAGUCAGACGAUCCGAGAUAAGUUGGGUGGUCAAAAGGGAAAGAGCCCAGACCAACAGCUAAGGCCCCAAAAUGUGUGUUAAGUGGAAAAGGAUGUGGGAUUUCGAAGACAACUAGGAUGUUGGCUCAGAAGCAGCCAUUCAUUCAAAGAGUGCGUAAUAGCUCACUAGUCGAGAGGUCCUGCGCCGAAAAUGUCCGGGGCUAAAACACACUGCCGAAGCUUUGGAAUUGAGAAUUCAAUUGGUAGAGGAGCAUUCUUAAAGGGAUGAAGCAGUACCGUAAGGAGCUGUGGACUUUUAAGAAGAGAGAAUGCCGGAAUGAGUAGCGAGAGGAAGGUGGGAAUCCUUCCGGCCGAAUAUCUAAGGUUUCCAGAGUAAAGCUGAUCUGCUCUGGGUAAGUCGGGGCCUAAGGCGAGGUCGAAAGACGUAGUCGAUGGAUAACAGGUUGAAAUUCCUGUACUAUCCUGUAACAGAACUGUGGGGACACAGGCAGAGAGCGUGAGCCGGGAAUGGAAAGACCGGUACAAGCGAGGUAGGAGAAGAGUUGGCAAAUCCGCUCUUUAAUCUGAAGACGUGAUGUGGACUGAAAAUAAGUAGGGAAGCACGUGAGCUGACUGUCAAGAAAAGCCGCUAUUGUUUGCAGGAUACCCGUACCGUAAACCGACACAGGUGGAUGAGGAGAGAAUCCUAAGGCCGACGGGAGAAGCAUUGUUAAGGAACUCGGCAAAAUGACUCCGUAACUUCGGGAGAAGGAGUGCCAGUAAGAUGGCCGCAGAGAAUUGGCCCAAGCAACUGUUUAGCAAAAACACAGGUCUAUGCAAAACCGAAAGGUGAGGUAUAUGCUGACGCCUGCCCGGUGCUGGAAGGUUAAGGGGAGAGGUUAGCGCAAGCGAAGCUUUGAACUUAAGCCCCAGUAAACGGCGGCCGUAACUAUAACGGUCCUAAGGUAGCGAAAUUCCUUGUCGGGUAAGUUCCGACCCGCACGAAAGGCGUAAUGAUUUGGGCACUGUCUCAACAAUGCACCCGGUGAAAUUGAAAUACCAGUGAAGAUGCUGGUUACCUGCGCCAGGACGGAAAGACCCCAUGGAGCUUUACUCCAGCUUGAUACUGGGAUUCGGUAUUGCAUGUACAGGAUAGGUGGGAGGCUAGGAAAUGGUAACGCCAGUUGCCAUGGAGCCGCUGUUGGGAUACCACCCUUGCAGUACUGGGUUUCUAACCAGCAGCCGUGAUCCGGCUGGGGGACAAUGUCAGGUGGGGAGUUUGACUGGGGCGGUCGCCUCCGAAAGGGUAUCGGAGGCGCUCAAAGGUUCCCUCAGAAUGGUUGGAAACCAUUCGAAGAGUGCAAAGGCAGAAGGGAGCUUGACUGCGACACCGACGGGUGGAGCAGGUACGAAAGUAGGACUUAGUGAUCCGGUGGUAUAAAGUGGGAUUGCCAUCGCUCAACGGAUAAAAGCUACCCUGGGGAUAACAGGCUUAUCACUCCCAAGAGUUCACAUCGACGGAGUGGUUUGGCACCUCGAUGUCGGCUCAUCGCAUCCUGGGGCUGAAGUAGGUCCCAAGGGUUGGGCUGUUCGCCCAUUAAAGCGGUACGCGAGCUGGGUUCAGAACGUCGUGAGACAGUUCGGUCCCUAUCCGGCGUGGGCGUAAGAUAUUUGAGAGGAGCUGUCCUUAGUACGAGAGGACCGGGAUGGACUGGCCGCUGGUGUAUCUGUUGUCUUACCAAAGGCAUAGCAGAGUAGCCAAGCCGGGAAGGGAUAAACGCUGAAGGCAUCUAAGCGUGAAGCCCCCCUCAAGAUGAGAUAUCUCAUAACGUCAAGUUAGUAAGACCCCUUGAAGACGACGAGGUAGAUAGGGCAGAGGUGGAAGUGUGGUAACACAUGGAGCUGACUGUUACUAAUAGGUCGAGGGCAUAACCAAA